GGGUGAUUUUCUAUCUCGGGUGUCAUGGACUCGCGAUUUCCAACCGUAUAAAUCUAUGAUGGGUUUCUGACCAUCUUUUGGCAUCGGCUAUCUCGGUCAUGAUCACUAAACGAAUAGUGGGUAUGAGAUUUAUCGAUACACUAGAGGUUGCAAAAUUUUUGUGAAAAUAUUCUGUGAUUUGGUUAGCCGACUAAAUGAAAACUUCAUUUCACUUCAAACUACGACUACUGUAUUUAUCAAAUCUUUAAUUUGCCGCAUUAUUUAGAAAAAUGGCGAUACUGGAAGCUAUUGUCAAAUGAUUGUCAAAACAAACUACAAGGAACCAUCCAAAACAGAGAUUGAUUUUGGUGUGUGUUUUUAAAUAAUUACCUGAAUCCUGUGUUUUAAUUGUUCAUUAUAUCUAAGGAUGGCGCCUUUAAGAAAAGUCUCAGAUCGACAAAUGGACAUUUUGUUGGAGUUCGUUGAAAGACAUAAAGAGCUUGCUGUUGGCCGGUACCCUCCCGGCCCAUUAGGCAUACAACCAGCACGUUGGCUAUGGGACAGUGCAGCAUUACAAUUAUAUGAAUUAUAUUCAAUAGGGUCUGGAGUUACAAAAACUGGUCAAAAAUUCUGAUGGGCAUUCACAUGUAAAGUGGCAAUGUGCAAUCAUAACUUAAACAAGGUUAAAGUAGAAAAAAUAUUUUAAUAAUGAUUAUAGUAAGACUGGUAGAAGCAAAAUGUGAUAGGAAGUUAUGUGAUUUAAAAUCAAAAAUAAAAGCCAUUAAUAUAAA
Non-coding RNA from Plutella xylostella (diamondback moth), 770 nucleotides. Lineage: Eukaryota; Metazoa; Arthropoda; Insecta; Lepidoptera; Plutellidae. The record is from RefSeq and is a predicted model, not a curated record.